This 789-nucleotide ribosomal RNA is filed under the name uncultured archaeon. RNAcentral describes it as "bacterial SSU rRNA". It matches the Rfam family "Archaeal small subunit ribosomal RNA", at positions 85 to 879 of the family's 1478-position model. The record is from RNAcentral.
ACGGCUCAGUAACACGUAGCUAACCUACCCUAAAGCCCGUAAUACCGUCGGGAAACUGACGUUAAGGACGGAUAAAUGAUUUUUUCUGGAAUGAUUAAUCGUUGAAAAUUUGCGUUAGGAUGGGGCUGCGGCUGAUUAGGUAGUUGGCGGGGUAAAUGCCACCAAGCCAAUGAUCAGUAAGGGCCUUUAGCGAGGAAGCCCUGAGAGGGAAUCUGAGACACUAUUCCCAGCCCUACGGGGUGCAGCAGUCGGGAAAAUUUUGCAAUGCGCGAAAGCGUGACAGAGCAAGCCAGAGUGCAUUUCUUUUUUAGAAACGCUUUUGUGAGAUGUAGAAAGUCCUACGAAUAAGGACCGGGAGAGACUGGUGCCAGCCGCCGCGGUAAUCCCAGCGGUCCAAGUCGCAGCCACAUUUGUUGGGUCUAAAACAUCCGUAGCUUGCCUUGCAAGUCUUAUGUGAAAUCGGGCAUCUUAAGUGUCCGGCGUGCAUAAGAUACUGCUUGGCUAGAGACCGGGAGGUGUAUCGAGUACAGACGGGGUAGCGGUUAAAUGUGUUGAUCCCAUCUGGACUAACAAUCGCGAAGGCACGGUACGAGAACGGUUCUGACAGUGAGGGAUGAAGGCUAGGGGCGCAAAGUGGAUUAGAUACCCAUGUGGUCCUAGCAGUAAACACUGCACACUGAACGUUGGGGCCUCCUCGAGAGGUUUCAGCGCUGUAGGGAAGCCGGAGAGUGUGCUACCUGGGAAGUAUAGCCGCAAGGCCGAAACUUAAAGGAAUUGGCGGGGGAGCAC